This 253-nucleotide ribosomal RNA is filed under the name uncultured bacterium. RNAcentral's name for it is "partial 16S ribosomal RNA". It matches the Rfam family "Bacterial small subunit ribosomal RNA", at positions 524 to 776 of the family's 1533-position model. The record is from RNAcentral.
GACGAAGGUGGCUAGCGUUGUUCGGUGUCACUGGGCUUAAAGCGUAUGUAGGCGGAAAAGUAAGCGUUUUGUGAAAUCCCUCGGCUCAACCGAGGAAUUGCUUGACGAACUGCUUUUCUUGAGGCAAGUAGGGGUGCAUGGAACUCUUGGUGGAGCGGUGGAAUGCGUAGAUAUCAAGAGGAACGCCAAUGGAGAAAUCAGUGCACUGGGCUUGUCCUGACGCUGAGAUACGAAAGCGUGGGGAGCGAACGGG